Molecule: ribosomal RNA, 460 nt
Filed under: uncultured bacterium
Lineage: Bacteria
Description: partial 16S ribosomal RNA
Rfam family: Bacterial small subunit ribosomal RNA
Source: RNAcentral
CCUACGGGUGGCAGCAGUGAGGAAUAUUGGUCAAUGGGCGCGAGCCUGAACCAGCCAAGUAGCGUGAAGGAUGACUGCCCUACGGGUUGUAAACUUCUUUUAUAAAGGAAUAAAGGUAGGUACGUGUGCCUUUUUGUAUGUACUUUAUGAAUAAGGAUCGGCUAACUCCGUGCCAGCAGCCGCGGUAAUACGGAGGAUCCGAGCGUUAUCCGGAUUUAUUGGGUUUAAAGGGAGCGUAGAUGGGUUGUUAAGUUAGUUGUGAAAGGUUGCGGCUUAACCGUAAAAUUGCAAUUGAUACUGGCGGUCUUGAGUACAGUUGAGGUAGGCGGAAUUCGUGGUGUAGCGGUGAAAUGCUUAGAUAUCACGCAGAACUCCGAUUGCGAAGGCAGCUUACUAAACUGCCACUGACAUUGAUGCUCGAAAGUGUGGGUAUCAAACAGGAUUAGAUACCCUGGUAGUC